CACCUCUAGCAUUACCAGUAUUAGAGGCACUGCCUGCCCAGUGACAUUAGUUAAACGGCCGCGGUAUCCUGACCGUGCAAAGGUAGCAUAAUCAUUUGUUCCUUAAUUAGGGACUUGUAUGAAUGGCCCCACGAGGGUUUAACUGUCUCUUACUUUUAAUCAGUGAAAUUGACCUUCCCGUGAAGAGGCGGGAAUAUGACAAUAAGACGAGAAGACCCUAUGGAGCUUAAAUUUAUAUGCUCAACAAAAUUUAAAUUUAACCCAACAGGAAUAAUCACAAUUUAACUGAGCAACAAAUUUUGGUUGGGGUGACCUCGGAGUAUAACAAAACCUCCGAGUGAUUUUAACUAAGACAUACUCGUCAAAGUUACAUAACUUAUUGAUCCAAUCAUAUUGAUCAACGAAAUAAGUUACCCUAGGGAUAACAGCGCAAUCCUAUUCGAGAGUUCAUAUCGACAAUAGGGUUUACGACCUCGAUGUUGGAUCAGGACACCCAAAUGGUGCAGCAGCUAUUAAAGGUUCGUUUGUUCAACG
Molecule: ribosomal RNA, 534 nt
Filed under: Crocidura theresae (Therese's shrew)
Lineage: Eukaryota; Metazoa; Chordata; Mammalia; Eulipotyphla; Soricidae
Description: partial large subunit ribosomal RNA
Rfam family: Bacterial large subunit ribosomal RNA
Source: RNAcentral